RNAcentral lists this ribosomal RNA (468 nucleotides) under uncultured bacterium. Its description in RNAcentral is "partial 16S ribosomal RNA". It matches the Rfam family "Bacterial small subunit ribosomal RNA", at positions 28 to 507 of the family's 1533-position model. The record is from RNAcentral.
GACGAACGCUGGCGGCGUGCUUAACACAUGCAAGUCGAACGGAAAGGCCCUGCUUUUGUGGGGUGCUCGAGUGGCGAACGGGUGAGUAACACGUGAGUAACCUGCCCUUGACUUUGGGAUAACUUCAGGAAACUGGGGCUAAUACCGGAUAGGAGCUCCUGCUGCAUGGGGGGGGUUGGAAAGUUUCGGCGGUUGGGGAUGGACUCGCGGCUUAUCAGCUUGUUGGUGGGGUAGUGGCUUACCAAGGCUUUGACGGGUAGCCGGCCUGAGAGGGUGACCGGCGACAUUGGGACUGAGAUACGGACCAGACGCGUACGGGAGGCAGCAGUGGGGAAUAUUGCACAAUGGGCGGAAGCCUGAUGCAGCAGCGCCGCGUGCGGGAUGACGGCCUUCGGGUUGUAAACCGCUUUCGCCUGUGACGAAGCGUGAGUGACGGUAAUGGGUGAAGAAGCACCGGCUAACUACGUG